RNAcentral lists this ribosomal RNA (730 nucleotides) under uncultured bacterium. RNAcentral's name for it is "bacterial SSU rRNA". It matches the Rfam family "Bacterial small subunit ribosomal RNA", at positions 771 to 1501 of the family's 1533-position model. The record is from RNAcentral.
AACAGGAUUAGAUACCCUGGUAGUCCACGCCGUAAACGAUGUCGACUUGGAGGUUGUUCCCUUGAGGAGUGGCUUCCGGAGCUAACGCGUUAAGUCGACCGCCUGGGGAGUACGGCCGCAAGGUUAAAACUCAAAUGAAUUGACGGGGGCCCGCACAAGCGGUGGAGCAUGUGGUUUAAUUCGAUGCGACGCGAAGAACCUUACCUACUCUUGACAUCCAGCGAACUUAGCAGAGAUGCUUUGGUGCCUUCGGGAACGCUGAGACAGGUGCUGCAUGGCUGUCGUCAGCUCGUGUUGUGAAAUGUUGGGUUAAGUCCCGCAACGAGCGCAACCCUUAUCCUUUGUUGCCAGCGAUUCGGUCGGGAACUCAAAGGAGACUGCCGGUGAUAAACCGGAGGAAGGUGGGGAUGACGUCAAGUCAUCAUGGCCCUUACGAGUAGGGCUACACACGUGCUACAAUGGCGCAUACAAAGAGAAGCGACCUCGCGAGAGCAAGCGGACCUCACAAAGUGCGUCGUAGUCCGGAUCGGAGUCUGCAACUCGACUCCGUGAAGUCGGAAUCGCUAGUAAUCGUGGAUCAGAAUGCCACGGUGAAUACGUUCCCGGGCCUUGUACACACCGCCCGUCACACCAUGGGAGUGGGUUGCAAAAGAAGUAAGUAGCUUAACCUUCGGGAGGGCGCUUACCACUUUGUGAUUCAUGACUGGGGUGAAGUCGUAACAAGGUAACC